UGAGGAAUAUUGGUCAAUGGGCGAGAGCCUGAACCAGCCAAGUAGCGUGCAGGAUGACGGCCCUAUGGGUUGUAAACUGCUUUUAUGUUGGGAUAAAGUGCGUGACGUGUCAUGCAUUGCAGGUACCACAUGAAUAAGGACCGGCUAAUUCCGUGCCAGCAGCCGCGGUAAUACGGAAGGUCCGGGCGUUAUCCGGAUUUAUUGGGUUUAAAGGGGGCGUAGGCUGUCUAUUAAGCGUGUUGUGAAAUAUACCGGCUCAACCGGUGGCUUGCAGCGCGAACUGGACGACUUGAGUAUGCAGGAAGUAGGCGGAAUUCAUGGUGUAGAGGUGAAAUGCUUAGAUAUCAUGACGAACUCCGAUUGCGCAGGCAGCUUACUGAAGAAUAACUGACGCUGAUGCUCGAAAGUGCGGGUAUCAAACAGG
RNAcentral lists this ribosomal RNA (424 nucleotides) under Fusobacteriota bacterium. RNAcentral's name for it is "Fusobacteria bacterium partial 16S ribosomal RNA". It matches the Rfam family "Bacterial small subunit ribosomal RNA", at positions 355 to 776 of the family's 1533-position model. Lineage: Bacteria; Fusobacteriati; Fusobacteriota. The record is from RNAcentral.